AUUGAACGCUGGCGGCAGGCCUAACACAUGCAAGUCGAACGGCAGCACGGUGAGUGCUCCCGGUUUCAGCGGGGGACGGGCGGGUGAUUGCGAGGAACAUCCGUAUUUGCUUUGGCGAACGUCCGAACGCGGGCGCAAUUACGCCAAUAGCGCAGACGGCGUAAGUGUGGGAGCUUCGGAUCUCCCGCCCUCAGGUGAUCGUAGGAGGCGAUGUCGGAUUAGCUAGUUGGCGGGGUAAAGGCCCACCAAGGCGACGAUCCGUAGCUGGUCUGAGAGGAUGAUCAGCCACACUGGAACUGAGACACGGUCCAGACUCCUACGGGAGGCAGCAGUGGGGAAUAUUGGACAAUGGGCGAAAGCCUGAUCCAGCCAUGCCGCGUGUGUGAAGAAGGUCUUCGGAUUGUAAAGCACUUUUGGUGGGAAAGAAAAGCAGUAAGUUAAUACCUUGCUGUUUUGACGGUACCAAAAGAAUAAGCACCGGCUAACUUCGUG
Molecule: ribosomal RNA, 492 nt
Filed under: uncultured bacterium
Lineage: Bacteria
Description: partial 16S ribosomal RNA
Rfam family: Bacterial small subunit ribosomal RNA
Source: RNAcentral